GGGAUAACGUAGCGAAAGUUACGCUAAUACCGCAUAUUCUGUGAGCAGGAAAGCAGGGGAUCGCAAGACCUUGCGCUGAUUGAGCGGCCGAUAUCAGAUUAGCUAGUUGGUGAGGUAAAGGCUCACCAAGGCGACGAUCUGUAGCGGGUCUGAGAGGAUGAUCCGCCACACUGGAACUGAGACACGGUCCAGACUCCUACGGGAGGCAGCAGUGGGGAAUUUUGGACAAUGGGGGCAACCCUGAUCCAGCCAUGCCGCGUGAGUGAAGAAGGCCUUCGGGUUGUAAAGCUCUUUCGGCCGGGAAGAAAUCGCAUGGGUUAAUACCCUGUGCGGAUGACGGUACCGGCAUAAGAAGCACCGGCUAACUACGUGCCAGCAGCCGCGGUAAUACGUAGGGUGCGAGCGUUAAUCGGAAUUACUGGGCGUAAAGCGUGCGCAGGCGGUUUUGUAAGACAGGCGUGAAAUCCCCGGGCUCAACCUGGGAACUGCGCUUGUGACUGCAAGGCUAGAGUAUGGCAGAGGGGGGUGGAAUUCCACGUGUAGCAGUGAAAUGCGUAGAGAUGUGGAGGAACACCAAUGGCGAAGGCAGCCCCCUGGGCCAAUACUGACGCUCAUGCACGAAAGCGUGGGUAGCAAACAGGAUUAGAUACCCUGGUAGUCCACGCCCUAAACGAUGUCAACUAGGUGUUGGGUGGGUAAAACCAUUUAGUACCGGAGCUAACGCGUGAAGUUGACCGCCUGGGGAGUACGGCCGCAAGGUUAAAACUCAAAGGAAUUAACGGGGACCCGCACAAGCGGUGGAUGAUGUGGAUUAAUUCGAUGCAACGCGAAAAACCUUACCUACCCUUGACAUGUCCAGGAGCCUGAAGAGAUUUGGGUGUGCCCGAAAGGGAACUGGAACACAGGUGCUGCAUGGCUGUCGUCAGCUCGUGUCGUGAGAUGUUGGGUUAAGUCCCGCAACGAGCGCAACCCUUGUCGUUAAUUGCCAUCAUUUAGUUGGGCACUUUAACGAGACUGCCGGUGACAAACCGGAGGAAGGUGGGGAUGACGUCAAGUCCUCAUGGCCCUUAUGGGUAGGGCUUCACACGUCAUACAAUGGUCGGUACAAAGGGUUGCCAACCCGCGAGGGGGAGCCAAUCCCAGAAAGCCGAUCGUAGUCCGGAUUGCAGGCUGCAACUCGCCUGCAUGAAGUCGGAAUCGCUAGUAAUCGUGGAUCAGCAUGUCACGGUGAAUACGUUCCCGGGUCUUGUACACACCGCCCGUCACACCAUGGGAGCGGGUUCCGCCAGAAGUAGGUAGCCUAACCGCAAGGGGGGCGCUUACCACGGCGGGGUUCGUGACUGGGGUGAAGUCGUAACAAGGUA
RNAcentral lists this ribosomal RNA (1364 nucleotides) under metagenome. RNAcentral describes it as "bacterial SSU rRNA". It matches the Rfam family "Bacterial small subunit ribosomal RNA", at positions 140 to 1498 of the family's 1533-position model. The record is from RNAcentral.